UACGUAGGGGGCAAGCGUUGUCCGGAUUUAUUGGGCGUAAAGAGCGUGUAGGCGGCCAGACAGGUCAGCUGUGAAAACUCGAGGCUCAACCUCGAGACGUCGGUUGAAACCGUCUGGCUAGAGUCCGGAAGAGGAGAGUGGAAUUCCCGGUGUAGCGGUGAAAUGCGCAGAUAUCGGGAAGAACACCCGUGGCGAAGGCGGCUCUCUGGGACGGUACUGACGCUGAGACGCGAAAGCGUGGGGGGCGAACAGG
Molecule: ribosomal RNA, 253 nt
Filed under: uncultured bacterium
Lineage: Bacteria
Description: partial 16S ribosomal RNA
Rfam family: Bacterial small subunit ribosomal RNA
Source: RNAcentral